Molecule: long non-coding RNA, 176 nt
Organism: Hyla sarda
Lineage: Eukaryota; Metazoa; Chordata; Amphibia; Anura; Hylidae
Exons: 3
Source: RefSeq, a predicted model, not a curated record
UGUACACUGAGGGCAAGCGAUAGAGGCGAGGAGAAACCUCUGGCCAGGAAGAGCAACAUGAACGCGUAGGAGACAAAAGAACACAUCAGUGCAUAAACAGUGUAUAAAAAGAAGAAAAUUUAUUAAUGAAUGGAUCCAUCAUACUGCAACAUAAACAGCGGGUCCUGUUGCAAGGU